Molecule: ribosomal RNA, 405 nt
Filed under: uncultured bacterium
Lineage: Bacteria
Description: bacterial SSU rRNA
Rfam family: Bacterial small subunit ribosomal RNA
Source: RNAcentral
GUGGGGAAUAUUGGGCAAUGGGCGCAAGCCUGACCCAGCAACGCCGCGUGAAGGAAGAAGGCUUUCGGGUUGUAAACUUCUUUUAAGAGGGACGAUAAUGACGGUACCUCUUGAAUAAGCCACGGCUAACUACGUGCCAGCAGCCGCGGUAAUACGUAGGUGGCAAGCGUUAUCCGGAUUUACUGGGUGUAAAGGGCGUGUAGGCGGGAUGGUAAGUCAGAUGUGAAAACUAUGGGCUCAACCCAUAGCCUGCAUUUGAAACUGUAUUUCUUGAGUGCUGGAGAGGCAAUCGGAAUUCCGUGUGUAGCGGUGAAAUGCGUAGAUAUACGGAGGAACACCAGUGGCGAAGGCGGAUUGCUGGACAGUAACUGACGCUGAGGCGCGAAAGCGUGGGGAGCAAACAGG